Molecule: non-coding RNA, 166 nt
Filed under: bovine gut metagenome
Description: Lysine riboswitch
Rfam family: Lysine riboswitch aptamer
About the family: Riboswitches are metabolite binding domains within certain messenger RNAs that serve as precision sensors for their corresponding targets. Allosteric rearrangement of mRNA structure is mediated by ligand binding, and this results in modulation of gene expression.
Source: RNAcentral
UGAUAGAGGUCGCGGUCGUCAAGAGUAGCCCACCAUGCAGCAGGCAAGCGCGGGUGGCGCGAAAGGGGAGACCGCCGAGGAACGGACGAGAGGGCCUGAUCGAGUCCGUAUCCGGGGCAGGGGAGAACAUCCGCUGCACUGUCGCCCGGGGGGCGGAGAGCUGUCA